GACGAACCGAGCGAACGUUGUUCGGAAUCACUGGGCUUAAAGGGCGCGUAGGCGGGUUCUCAAGUCCGGGGUGAAAACCCACAGCUCAACUGUGGAACUGCCUCGGAUACUGGGUGCCUCGAGGGUGGUAGGGGUAUGCGGAACUAUCGGUGGAGCGGUGAAAUGCGUUGAUAUCGAUAGGAACUCCGGUGGCGAAGGCGGCAUACUGGACCACAUCUGACGCUGAGGCGCGAAAGCCAGGGGAGCGAACGGG
Molecule: ribosomal RNA, 253 nt
Filed under: uncultured bacterium
Lineage: Bacteria
Description: partial 16S ribosomal RNA
Rfam family: Bacterial small subunit ribosomal RNA
Source: RNAcentral